UACCGAGGUCAUUCACGCGUCUUCCACUACGCGUUUUGUUGUCAGGUACGGAUAGCGGUUUUCCAAAACCACCAUCUCCUUAAACCAUCUUUCGCCUGCUUAUAAAAUACCCCCUCUAGGCUACAGUUGGUCAGAUGUGGUGCGAAAACGAGGAGAUCCCAGCCUCCUGAAACUUACAUGGCAUGGGCGGUUUGGUAAGAGGGAAUCUUAUCACUCUCUUCCCUGGGUGGUUGCUUUCUUACCAACACCUCCCAUUCCACUAAUUUUCAGUAGUUUUUCUCCCUUUAGCUCCAAAUAUCUUGGUCCGAUCUGUUGAUUUCAUGAGAUAUGUGAGAAAAGAUGGUAAAAAAUGAGAGAGUUUACGGGGAGAAUGGGGUGUGAGAUGAAAAAGGAAUGGAGGAAAAGGGAGAGAGAAUUAGCGGGAGCUGUGGGUAUGGGAGGAUUGGGGAGACGAUGAAUUAGGAAACUGGAUCUGAAGAAAACAUUUUCUUCCCAAGACCCCCCAUGCCAACAGCUUCCGGUUGUUCCUCCCUUUCCCUGAUUUGUCCUUGUUACGAUCUGAUUUUUGCUACCGGAGUUUGAGAGGAGUGUAUAAUUGGAGAUCAGACCAUUCUCAAAGGGGGCGGAGGAUUAGGUUUUCCAUUCUCUUGGCCAUUUGCUUCGGCCUAUAACUUUUGUGUAAGGAUGACUAGAACCGCCCGAGCUUUUACGGCUCGCACCGACCGAAUAUUCUUAGGGUACGGCCUUAUGGUCUGGUCACUGGACAUCGUGAACACCGAUCUCUAGUUUGAACUUUGAAGCAACUGGGGCUGCUCAAAUCGGUCCAGGUUAGGAAAAGCCUAUGGUAUCCACGGUACAAAUUUAAAAAAUGAAGUACAAAGCAAUCAGAUGUUUUACUUAAUAUUGCCUUGUGAAUCCGGCGGAUCUCUGCUGAAAAUUUUUUGGUGCGUUGUGAAAUUUCAAGGCAAAUUUGUGUUAGAGAAUGUGGUAGAGCAAUUUUAGAAAAAGGAUAUUUGUUUUUUUUUUUUAAUUUGGUAAAUUCAAAUAUAUUAUUGCAAAAGAAUAAAUUGGUUAAAUAUCCCAAUAUUUAUAAAUCUAGUUCUUUCUAUA
Molecule: long non-coding RNA, 1110 nt
Organism: Vitis vinifera (wine grape)
Lineage: Eukaryota; Viridiplantae; Streptophyta; Magnoliopsida; Vitales; Vitaceae
Exons: 2
Source: RefSeq, a predicted model, not a curated record